Molecule: ribosomal RNA, 253 nt
Filed under: uncultured bacterium
Lineage: Bacteria
Description: partial 16S ribosomal RNA
Rfam family: Bacterial small subunit ribosomal RNA
Source: RNAcentral
UACGGAGGGUGCAAGCGUUAUCCGGAUUUACUGGGUUUAAAGGGCGCGUAGGUGGGUAAGUAAGUCAGUGGCGAAAUCUUCGAGCUUAACUCGGAAACUGCCAUUGAUACUAUUUAUCUUGAAUACUUUGGAGGUAAGCGGAAUAUGUCAUGUAGCGGUGAAAUGCUUAGAUAUGACAUAGAACACCAAUUGCGAAGGCAGCUUACUACACAGUUAUUGACACUGAGGCACGAAAGCGUGGGGAUCAAACAGG